UGGUGGAAUCGCCAUUGGCGUUUGUAUUUCGCAUAGAAUUCUUGAUGGGACUGCACUAAGCAUAUUCCUUAAAGGUUGGGCUACUGCAGCUUUUGCUUCAUCCAAAGAAGUUGUGUAUCCCGAUUUCUCUGCAUCUUCUCUUUUCCCUGCUAAUGAUUUAAGGCUUAAAAAUGGAUCAAUGUCCAUGUGGGGUGCUGUUUUCAAGAAAGGAGAGUUCAUUACAAAAAGAUUUGUAUUUGAUAGUUUGGCUAUAGAAAAACUCAAAGAAAUGGCAACUACCUGCUCAAGUGUGAGGCAUCCUACUCGAGUCGAGGCCAUUUCUGCAUUCAUAUGGAAAUAUGCAAUGGCUGCAUCAGAGAAAAAACGUGGUUCGAAGAAGGCUUCUUUGAUCACACAUAUCGUAAAUCUCCGAAAGAGGGCAGCUCCAA
Molecule: long non-coding RNA, 428 nt
Filed under: Olea europaea (common olive)
Lineage: Eukaryota; Viridiplantae; Streptophyta; Magnoliopsida; Lamiales; Oleaceae
Description: long non-coding RNA (OEUR_LNC010619)
Source: RNAcentral